CAGAACGAACGCUGGCGGCAGGCCUAACACAUGCAAGUCGAGCGCACUCUUCGGAGUGAGCGGCGGACGGGUUAGUAACGCGUGGGAACAUACCCUUUUCUAUGGAAUAGCCUCGGGAAACUGAGAGUAAUACCAUAUACGCCCUUCGGGGGAAAGAUUUAUCGGUGAAGGAUUGGCCCGCGUAAGAUUAGAUAGUUGGUGGGGUAAUGGCCUACCAAGUCUACGAUCUUUAGCUGGUUUGAGAGGAUGAUCAGCAACACUGGGACUGAGACACGGCCCAGACUCCUACGGGAGGCAGCAGUGGGGAAUCUUAGACAAUGGGCGCAAGCCUGAUCUAGCCAUGCCGCGUGAGUGACGAAGGCCUUAGGGUCGUAAAGCUCUUUCGCCAGAGAUGAUAAUGACAGUAUCUGGUAAAGAAACCCCGGCUAACUCCGUGCCAGCAGCCGCGGUAAUACGGAGGGGGUUAGCGUUGUUCGGAAUUACUGGGCGUAAAGCGUACGUAGGCGGAUUGGAAAGUAGGGGGUGAAAUCCCAGGGCUCAACCCUGGAACUGCCUCCUAAACUACUAGUCUAGAGUUCGAGAGAGGUGAGUGGAAUUCCAAGUGUAGAGGUGAAAUUCGUAGAUAUUUGGAGGAACACCAGUGGCGAAGGCGGCUCACUGGCUCGAUACUGACGCUGAGGUACGAAAGUGUGGGGAGCAAACAGGAUUAGAUACCCUGGUAGUCCACACCGUAAACGAUGAAUGCCAGACGUCGGGGGGCUUGCCCUUCGGUGUCACACCUAACGGAUUAAGCAUCC
RNAcentral lists this ribosomal RNA (797 nucleotides) under uncultured Loktanella sp. RNAcentral's name for it is "bacterial SSU rRNA". It matches the Rfam family "Bacterial small subunit ribosomal RNA", at positions 25 to 869 of the family's 1533-position model. Lineage: Bacteria; Pseudomonadati; Pseudomonadota; Alphaproteobacteria; Rhodobacterales; Roseobacteraceae. The record is from RNAcentral.